AACGUAGGAGACGAGCGUUAUCCGGAAUUACUGGGCGUAAAGCGCGAGUAGGCGGCUUUUUAAGUGGUCUGUGAAAGCGUCCGGCUCAACUGGACGAGGCCGGAUCAGACUGGAAGGCUCGAGGGUCAGAGAGGCAGGCGGAAUUCCGGGUGUAGUGGUGAAAUGCGUAGAGAUCCGGAGGAACACCAGUGGCGAAGGCGGCCUGCUGGCUGACAACUGACGCUGAGGCGCGAAAGCAUGGGGAGCGAACGGG
RNAcentral lists this ribosomal RNA (253 nucleotides) under uncultured bacterium. RNAcentral describes it as "partial 16S ribosomal RNA". It matches the Rfam family "Bacterial small subunit ribosomal RNA", at positions 524 to 776 of the family's 1533-position model. The record is from RNAcentral.